RNAcentral lists this ribosomal RNA (325 nucleotides) under uncultured bacterium. RNAcentral's name for it is "bacterial SSU rRNA". It matches the Rfam family "Bacterial small subunit ribosomal RNA", at positions 30 to 355 of the family's 1533-position model. The record is from RNAcentral.
AUUGAACGCUGGCGGCGUGCUUAACACAUGCAAGUCGUGCGGUAACAGGCGUAGCAAUACGUGCUGACGAGCGGCGAACGGGUGCGUAAUACAUGGGAAUCUGCCCUUUAGUGGGGAAUAACCCGGCGAAAGCCGGGCUAAUGCCGCAUAAGAUCUUCGGAUGAAAGCGGGGAUACGUAAGACCUCGCGCUGAUGGAUGAGCCCAUGUCGAUUAGCUAGNGGUGAGGUAACGGCUCACCAAGGCGACGAUCCGUAGCUGGUCUGAGAGGACGGCCAGCCACACUGGGACUGAGACACGGCCCAGACUCCUACGGGAGGCAGCAGU